UUUUAAUUUAAUAAUGGUAAAAGUAUGUGAACAUCUUGAUUUUACACUUACUCUCUACCUUACAAUUAUUUGUAUAUAUAUAUAUAUAUAUAUACAGUAUAUAUGCUCCUCAACUCUUGGAUUUUGUAUCUUUCGAAUUUAAUUUAAUUUUUUUAUAUUAUUUGUUCUUAUAGUAAUUUUUCUAAAUUUAAGCAUUUUGUGCAGUGAUUUUAAUUUAUUUAAUAUGUGGACUGAAAAUAGUUCUUGUUUUUCUCACUUGAAUUCACCUGAAGAAUGUUUUAAAUGAACAUUUUAAAUAAUUCUCUAUCACUUUGUAUAUGGUCUAAUUAAAUUAUGUUAAGUAAGAAAAGUAAAUUGGUUUAAGAUAUUUACUAUUAAUCAUAAAUUUAUCAAGAUACAGAAUAACAGCCUACUUCUACACCUAUUCUACAAAGUUACCUAUUAUGUUGAUUUUACUGGAAACAAGAUUUAACAAAAGAUUAUAGGAAAAGACCUAAAUACAGAAAAUUACUGGAAACUCCAUUUAUUAAGAAAUACGAAACACUCGAUGUCGACGUAGCAGCAUGGUUUGCCGUCGUCAUGGCUUCAACUCAAACGCCGAGACCAUCGAGGCACUUUAGGCAUUUCUGACAUUGCUCGAAAUAUAAACAUUGUGUUUGUAGAAAUGUUAAACUAUAUAAUGAUUUAUCAACUUGUUGGAGGAAUUCAUUAAUUAUCGAAGAGACCAUCAGAGCCGAAGAGGGAAGUUAUUUCUCCGAUAUUCUACUAAAAGUUAUGUUUAGGUUAUAGAAGUUAAUUUAAUUAACUUAUAUGUAUUGAUCAUGAAUUUCUAUAUUGCUGCCUUGAAAAUUCUGAUCUCUACAAAUAAAAUUAACUUCAUUUUAAAA
Long non-coding RNA from Centruroides sculpturatus (bark scorpion), 887 nucleotides. RefSeq lists it as uncharacterized. The transcript is spliced from 3 exons. Lineage: Eukaryota; Metazoa; Arthropoda; Arachnida; Scorpiones; Buthidae. The record is from RefSeq and is a predicted model, not a curated record.